Molecule: long non-coding RNA, 1213 nt
Organism: Gallus gallus (chicken)
Lineage: Eukaryota; Metazoa; Chordata; Aves; Galliformes; Phasianidae
Source: Ensembl
UGAAAAUCCGUAUUUUUAAAUAUUUAUAGCAUUGUAAGUUAUAAUCCCUUCUGUCUCUUACGUUACAACUUGGAGACGCACGUUUGCCAUAUGUCUCUCUACAUCUAGAUGUCACAAAACAUAUGCCCACACAGCAUGGAGGCCAGCCGUUCUGUAGGAUGAUCCCUUCUCUCUAUCUGUUUAGUGCUGGGUUCCAUGAUGCUGGUACGUGAGAUGCAGGGUGAUGUCAGUACUGGAGAUGCAGAGUGACAUCGGCAUUGGAGAUGAAUGGUCUCUUUGCUCUGAGUUCCAGGUUAGUAUCCCCUCGGCUAGAAAUGCAGCUACGAGUGUCACUGACCUGCCUCCGGGGGCUCACCUCAACUGCAGAGCUUCAGGGCAAGACUGUUUCCUACGGGAUACGCUACGGAAUUUUAAGGAGAAAAUCCCAGAAGAUGAAAUCCCAGCAAGACAAACAUCUCGGCAAACAUAACCUUGAGCUCCGUGCAGGUUGGCAGGGUCAAGGGGGAGGAAUUAAGAUCUCACUUCAACUCACUGAUGAUUACUGAGCCACGAGCUGCGUUCCCAUCCGCGGUACCGCAGCACAUAUGGUGAGCCUGGACACACGCUGCUCCGGCCCCGUGUCAUCCGGCAGCACAAGGGCACACGUCACGCAGCAAAUAUCAGCUCUGAUCUCCUGCUCCAGGGCUUUUUGUCCAGAGAGUUUUUCAAUGUGGGAAGGGUUUCUUCAAAGCUGUGUCUUGAGUGAGGUGAAAAUCAAAUUAACUCUAGGAGGGGACGAACUGAUUGUUGCAAAAACAGCAAAAGGCCUUAGGUUUUUAGGUGAUUUUGGGGCUGUGGGAUGCUGGGGCUGGCAGGAGGGCUCUUGUGUGCUGCUGGGCUGCAGAAGCACCUCCUGGGUUGGGGGAAGUGAUAAACACCCCACUGCCCCCAGUCUGACCAAUGAAUCAGCAUGAUGCCUUCGAACCUAUGUCUGUGGGACCACUGUCUGCCAUGAAAUCAGAUGCAUUCUGGAAUUAAUGCCCUCACCCCUGACAGCGUUGCAGAUGUCCUACUCUAGGGGAUGUUCAGCCCAAACCAGGGCUGGGGGACAGCACCGUGCUGUAGCUGCUGCCAACAUGCAGAUUUCUUCAUUGAUAUAUUCAGUUUCCUCCUCCACAGAAUCACAGGAUCAUAGAAUAUCCCAGUUUGGAAGGGACACAUAAGGAUCAUCGAG